Molecule: ribosomal RNA, 685 nt
Filed under: Epicoccum sp. E19
Lineage: Eukaryota; Fungi; Ascomycota; Dothideomycetes; Pleosporales; Didymellaceae
Description: eukaryotic LSU rRNA
Rfam family: 5.8S ribosomal RNA (bases 95-247)
Source: RNAcentral
GGGCUCCGAAAUUCAAAGGCGGGUCCGCCCGCGGAUUGGACAAAAUUCAAACCCUUUGGAGUUGCAAUCAGCGUCUGAAAAAAGGACUUGUUACAACUUUGACACUGGAUCUCUUGGUUCUGGGAUCUAUGAAGAACGGAGCGGAAUGCGAUAAGAAGUGUGAAUUGCAGAAUUCAGUGAAUCAUCGAAUCUUUGAACGCACAUUGCGCCCCUUGGUAUUCCAUGGGGCAUGCCUGUUCGAGCGUCAUUUGUACCUUCAAGCUCUGCUUGGUGUUGGGUGUUUGUCUCGCCUCUGCGUGUAGACUCGCCUUAAAACAAUUGGCAGCCGGCGUAUUGAUUUCGGAGCGCAGUACAUCUCGCGCUUUGCACUCAUAACGACGACGUCCAAAAGUACAUUUUUACACUCUUGACCUCGGAUCAGGUAGGGAUACCCGCUGAACUUAAGCAUAUCAAUAGGCGGGAGGAAAUUGUACUCAUUCCAAUUACCAGACUCAAAAGAGCCCGGUAUUGUUAUUUAUUGUCACUACCUCCCCGUGUCAGGAUUGGAGUAAUUUGCGCGCCUGCUGCCAUCCAUUGGAUGUGGUAGCCGUUUCUCAGGCUCCCUCUCCGGAAUCGAACCCUGAUUUCUCCGUCACCCGUCACCACCAUGGUAGGCCCUCUAUCCUACCAUCGAGAAGUUGAUACA